GGGGGAUAAAUUAAUAAAGUAUAAAUAAUAAAAAAAUUUUUAAUAUUAAUAUAAUUUAAUGGGGGUUAAAGUAUAUUUAAUAGAAAAAAUAAUAAAUAUUUAUAGAAAAUUAGUAUUGUGAAAGAAAUUUGAAAUAUAUUGAAAAUAAAUUUAUGUAAAAGUAGAUUUAAUUUAUUGUAUCUUGUGUAUCAGAGUUUAUUAAUAAUGUUUUUUAUUUAAAAAUUUUCUCGAAUUUAAAAGAGAUAAUUAAUUAUUAAAGUUAAUGUUGAAUAAUUAUUUUAAAUAAUUAAUUUGAAAUGAGAUGUUAAUCGUUUUUAAAUAUAUCUAGUUUUUUUAGAAAAAAAUUUAAUUUUAAAUUUUAAAAAAAAAAUAUAAUUUUAAUUAAUUAAAAUUAUAUUUUUAAAAUUAAAUAUUUUAAGGGAUAAGCUUUAAAAUAAAUUUUUAUAAUAAAUUUUAAUUAUAAUUAAAAUUUUUAAAAUUUAUAUUUUUUAUAAAUUAUAGUUUUUUAUAAAUAAUUUUAAUUAAUAUAAAAUUUAAAAUUUAUUUAAUUUUUUAUUAAAAAAUAAUUUAUAAUAAUUUAAAUUUAGAUAUAAUGAUAAAAUUAGUAUAUAAUUAAAUUAAAAUAAUUUAUUAUUUGAUAAUUUAAUAAAAGGAAUUCGGCAAAAAUUUAUAUUCACUUGUUUAUCAAAAACAUGUCUUUUUGAAUUAAUAAUAUAAAGUCUAAUCUGCCCACUGAUAAUAAAUUAAAGGGCUGCAGUAUUUUGACUGUACAAAGGUAGCAUAAUCAUUAGUCUCUUAAUUGGUGACUUGUAUGAAAGAUUUGAUGAGAUAUAAACUGUCUCUUUUUAAUUUUUAGAAUUUAAUUUUUUAGUUAAAAGGCUAAAAUAUAUUUAAAAGACGAGAAGACCCUAUAGAGUUUAAUAUUUAAUAUUUAUAUUAAAAAUUUUAUAUGAAAUUUGUAAUUUUAAUAUGGGUAAAUAUUUUGUUGGGGUGAUAAAAAAAUUAAAAUAACUUUUUUUAUAAUUUUACAUUAAUAAAUGAAUAAGUGAUCCGUAAUUUACGAUUAUAAGAAAAAAUUACCUUAGGGAUAACAGCGUAAUUUUUUUUUUUAGUUCAAAUAAGAAAAAGAGUUUGCGACCUCGAUGUUGGAUUAAGGUAAAAUUUAAAUGCAAAAGUUUAAAAUUUUUGAUCUGUUCGAUCAUUAAAAUCUUACAUGAUCUGAGUUCAAACCGGUGUAAGCCAGGUUGGUUUCUAUCUUUAGAUUAAUAAAAUAUUUUAGUACGAAAGGAUUAAAUAUUUAAAAUAAUUUUAUAUUUUAUUAAGAAUUUUAAUAAUAGAUAAUAAUAGUUAUUUAAAUAUA
This 1360-nucleotide ribosomal RNA is filed under the name Parnassius ariadne. Its description in RNAcentral is "16S ribosomal RNA". The stretch from base 1087 to 1246 matches the Rfam family "Eukaryotic large subunit ribosomal RNA", at positions 2825 to 2984 of the family's 3401-position model. Lineage: Eukaryota; Metazoa; Arthropoda; Insecta; Lepidoptera; Papilionidae. The record is from RNAcentral.